Molecule: ribosomal RNA, 902 nt
Filed under: uncultured bacterium
Lineage: Bacteria
Description: bacterial SSU rRNA
Rfam family: Bacterial small subunit ribosomal RNA
Source: RNAcentral
AACACAUGCAAGUCGAGGGGAAACGGCAUUUAGUGCUUGCACCGAAUGGACGUCGACCGGCGCACGGGUGAGUAACGCGUAUCCAACUUUCCCAUAACUAAGGGAUAACCUGCCGAAAGGCAGACUAAUACCUUAUGUAAUCCUUUGAUGGCAUCAAAUAAGGAUAAAAGAUUUAUCGGUUAUGGAUGGGGAUGCGUCUGAUUAGCUUGUUGGCGGGGUAACGGCCCACCAAGGCAACGAUCAGUAGGGGUUCUGAGAGGAAGGUCCCCCACAUUGGAACUGAGACACGGUCCAAACUCCUACGGGAGGCAGCAGUGAGGAAUAUUGGUCAAUGGACGGAAGUCUGAACCAGCCAAGUAGCGUGCAGGAUGACGGCCCUAUGGGUUGUAAACUGCUUUUGUAUGGGGAUAAAGUCAAUCACGUGUGAUUGUUUGCAGGUACCAUACGAAUAAGGACCGGCUAAUUCCGUGCCAGCAGCCGCGGUAAUACGGAAGGUUCGGGCGUUAUCCGGAUUUAUUGGGUUUAAAGGGAGCGUAGGCCGGAGAUUAAGUGUGUUGUGAAAUGUAGACGCUCAACGUCUGACUUGCAGCGCAUACUGGUUUCCUUGAGUACGCACAACGUUGGCGGAAUUCGUCGUGUAGCGGUGAAAUGCUUAGAUAUGACGAAGAACUCCGAUUGCGAAGGCAGCUGACGGGAGCGCAACUGACGCUGAAGCUCGAAGGUGCGGGUAUCGAACAGGAUUAGAUACCCUGGUAGUCCGCACAGUAAACGAUGGAUGCCCGCUGUUGGUACCUGGUAUCAGCGGCUAAGCGAAAGCAUUAAGCAUCCCACCUGGGGAGUACGCCGGCAACGGUGAAACUCAAAGGAAUUGACGGGGGCCCGCACAAGCGGAGGAACAUGUG